AAAAAAGCGAGUUUGAUCAUGGCUCAGGACGAACGCUGGCGGCGUGCUUAACACAUGCAAGUCGAACGGGCAGCACUGGAAGGUUCGCUGGAAGGUGCUGUUAGUGGCGGACGGGUGAGUAACGCGUGAGGACAUGGCUCCAGGAGGGGAUAACGUUUGGAAACGGACGCUAAGACCCAUAUGCCGGAAGGUGAAAAUGGCGCAAGCCAGCCUGGAGAGUGACUCGCGUCCUAUCAGCUAGUUGGUGGGGUGAAGGCCUACCAAGGCGAUGACGGGUAGCCGACCUGAGAGGGUGGCCGGCCACACUGGAACUGAGAUACGGUCCAGACUCCUACGGGAGGCAGCAGUGGGGAAUAUUGGGCAAUGGGGCGCAAGCCUGACCCAGCGACGCCGCGUGGGGGAUGAAGUCUUUCGGGAUGUAAACCCUUGUUGUACGGGACGAAAACAAUGACGGUACCGUACGAGGAAGCCCCGGCAAACUACGUGCCAGCCGCCGCCGUAA
Molecule: ribosomal RNA, 502 nt
Filed under: uncultured bacterium
Lineage: Bacteria
Description: bacterial SSU rRNA
Rfam family: Bacterial small subunit ribosomal RNA
Source: RNAcentral